This 523-nucleotide ribosomal RNA is filed under the name uncultured bacterium. RNAcentral's name for it is "bacterial SSU rRNA". It matches the Rfam family "Bacterial small subunit ribosomal RNA", at positions 8 to 528 of the family's 1533-position model. The record is from RNAcentral.
AGAGUUUGAUCCUGGCUCAGAUUGAACGCUGGCGGCAUGCUUUACACAUGCAAGUCGAACGGUAACAGGUCUUCGGAUGCUGACGAGUGGCGAACGGGUGAGUAAUACAUCGGAACGUGCCUAGUAGUGGGGGAUAACUACUCGAAAGAGUAGCUAAUACCGCAUGAGAUCUACGGAUGAAAGCAGGGGACCUUUGGGCCUUGUGCUACUAGGGCGGCUGAUGGCAGAUUAGGUAGUUGGUGGGGUAAAGGCUUACCAAGCCUGCGAUCUGUAGCUGGUCUGAGAGGACGACCAGCCACACUGGGACUGAGACACGGCCCAGACUCCUACGGGAGGCAGCAGUGGGGAAUUUUGGACAAUGGGCGAAAGCCUGAUCCAGCAAUGCCGCGUGCAGGAUGAAGGCCCUCGGGUUGUAAACUGCUUUUGUACGGAACGAAAAGCCUGGGGCUAAUAUCCCCGGGUCAUGACGGUACCGUAAGAAUAAGCACCGGCUAACUACGUGCCAGCAGCCGCGGUAAUACGU